CAGCAGCCGCGGUAAUACGUAGGGUGCAAGCGUUAAUCGGAAUUACUGGGCGUAAAGCGUGCGCAGGCGGUUCUAUAAGACAGAUGUGAAAUCCCCGGGCUCAGCCUGGGAACUGCAUUUGUGACUGUAAAGCUAGAGUGCGGCAGAGGGGGAUGGAAUUCCGCGUGUAGCAGUGAAAUGCGUAGAUAUGCGGAGGAACACCGAUGGCGAAGGCAAUCCCCUGGGCCUGCACUGACGCUCAUGCACGAAAGCGUGGGGAGCAAACAGGAUUAGAUACCCGCGUAGUCCCUGUCUCUUAUAC
Molecule: ribosomal RNA, 301 nt
Filed under: uncultured bacterium
Lineage: Bacteria
Description: partial 16S ribosomal RNA
Rfam family: Bacterial small subunit ribosomal RNA
Source: RNAcentral